This 406-nucleotide ribosomal RNA is filed under the name uncultured bacterium. RNAcentral's name for it is "partial 16S ribosomal RNA". It matches the Rfam family "Bacterial small subunit ribosomal RNA", at positions 30 to 526 of the family's 1533-position model. The record is from RNAcentral.
AUUGAACGCUGGCGGCAGGCCUAAUACAUGCAAGUCGAACGAGUGGCGGACGGGUGAGUAAUGUCUGGGAACCUGCCUGAUGGAGGGGGCUAACUACUGGAAACGGUAGCUACUACCGCAUACCAUCAGAUGUGCCCAGAUGGGAUUAGCUAGUUGGUGGGGUAAAGGCUAACCAAGGGGACGAUCCAUAGCUGGUCUGAGAGGAUGACCAGACACACGGGAACUGAGAAACGGUCCAGACUCCUACGGGAGGCAGCAGUGGGGAAUAUUGCACAAUGGGCGCAAGCCUGAUGCAGCAAUGCCGCGUGUAUGAAGAAGGCCUUCGGGUUGUAAAGUACUUGCAGCGGGGAGGCGUUACCCGCAGAAGAAGCACCGGCUAACUCCGUGCCAGCAGCCGCGGUAAUUC